RNAcentral lists this ribosomal RNA (783 nucleotides) under uncultured bacterium. RNAcentral describes it as "bacterial SSU rRNA". It matches the Rfam family "Bacterial small subunit ribosomal RNA", at positions 8 to 796 of the family's 1533-position model. The record is from RNAcentral.
AGAGUUUGAUCAUGGCUCAGGAUGAACGCUGGCGGCGUGGCUAAGGCAUGCAAGUCGAACGAUCGUUUUAUUUCCGCAAGGAUAUGAAACGGUAGUGGCAAACGGGUGAGUAACACAUUGGUAACCUACCUCGAAGUUCGGCAUAACGUUCCGAAAGGAACGCUAAUACCGGAUGUGGUGGCGGAUCGCAAGGUCUGCCAGUAAAGCCGCAAGGCGCUUUGAGAGGGGCCUAUGUUCUAUCAGCUAGUUGGUGAGGUAAUGGCUCACCAAGGCGACGACGGAUACCGGGUGUGAGAGCAUGACCCGGCUCACUGGGACUGAGACACUGCCCAGACACCUACGGGUGGCUGCAGUCACGAAUAUUCCACAAUGGGGGAAACCCUGAUGGAGCGACGCCGCGUGCAGGAAGACGGGCUUCGGCUUGUAAACUGCUUUUCCUUGGGACGAAGCUUCGGCUGACGGUACCAAAGGAAUAAGAGGUUGCUAACUCUGUGCCAGCAGCAGCGGUAAUACAGAGACCUCAAGCGUUAUCCGGAUUUAUUGGGCGUAAAGCGUCCGCAGACGGCACGUUAAGUUUCUCGUCAAAUCUCAAGGCUCAACCUUGGGGCUGCGGGGAAAACUGGCGAGCUAGAGGUUGGGAGAGGUGAGCGGAAUUACCGGUGUAGUAGUAAAAUGCGUUAAUAUCGGUAAGAACACCAAAGGCGAAGGCAGCUCACUGGAACACACCUGACGUUAAGGGACGAAAGCACGGGGAGCGAAGCGGAUUAGAUACCCUAGUAGUCC